UGGGGAAUAUUGUUCAAUGGACGGAAGUCUGAAACAGCAAUGCCGCGUGGAUGAAGAAGGCCUUCGGGUUGUAAAGUCCUUUCGAUGGGGAAGAAGAAGAUGACGGUACCCAGAGAAGAAGCCACGGCUAAUCUCGUGCCAGCAGCCGCGGUAAGACGAGAGUGGCAAGCGUUAUCCGGAAUUACUGGGCGUAAAGAGCGCGUAGGCGGUUUUGAAAGUCAGGGGUGAAAAGUCUGGGCUUAACCGAGGCCUUGCCUUUGAAACUUCAAGACUAGAGUACAGGAUAGGAGGGUAGAACUACCAGUGUAGCGGUGGAAUGCGUAGAUAUUGGUAGGAACGCCGAUGACGAAGGUAACUCUCUGGACUGAUACUGACGCUGAGGUGCGAAAGCUAGGGGAGC
This 400-nucleotide ribosomal RNA is filed under the name uncultured bacterium. RNAcentral's name for it is "bacterial SSU rRNA". It matches the Rfam family "Bacterial small subunit ribosomal RNA", at positions 355 to 769 of the family's 1533-position model. The record is from RNAcentral.